Molecule: ribosomal RNA, 801 nt
Filed under: Salmonella enterica subsp. enterica serovar Enteritidis
Lineage: Bacteria; Pseudomonadati; Pseudomonadota; Gammaproteobacteria; Enterobacterales; Enterobacteriaceae
Description: partial 23S ribosomal RNA
Rfam family: Bacterial large subunit ribosomal RNA
Source: RNAcentral
GCGUUAAGUUGCAGGGUAUAGACCCGAAACCCGGUGAUCUAGCCAUGGGCAGGUUGAAGGUUGGGUAACACUAACUGGAGGACCGAACCGACUAAUGUUGAAAAAUUAGCGGAUGACCUGUGGCUGGGGGUGAAAGGCCAAUCAAACCGGGAGAUAGCUGGUUCUCCCCGAAAGCUAUUUAGGUAGCGCCUCGUGAAUUCAUCUCCGGGGGUAGAGCACUGUUUCGGCUAGGGGGCCAUCCCGGCUUACCAACCCGAUGCAAACUGCGAAUACCGGAGAAUGUUAUCACGGGAGACACACGGCGGGUGCUAACGUCCGUCGUGAAGAGGGAAACAACCCAGACCGCCAGCUAAGGUCCCAAAGUCAUGGUUAAGUGGGAAACGAUGUGGGAAGGCCCAGACAGCCAGGAUGUUGGCUUAGAAGCAGCCAUCAUUUAAAGAAAGCGUAAUAGCUCACUGGUCGAGUCGGCCUGCGCGGAAGAUGUAACGGGGCUAAACCAUGCACCGAAGCUGCGGCAGCGACACUGUGUGUUGUUGGGUAGGGGAGCGUUCUGUAAGCCUGUGAAGGUGUGUCGUGAGGCAUGCUGGAGGUAUCAGAAGUGCGAAUGCUGACAUAAGUAACGAUAAAGCGGGUGAAAAGCCCGCUCGCCGGAAGACCAAGGGUUCCUGUCCAACGUUAAUCGGGGCAGGGUGAGUCGACCCCUAAGGCGAGGCCGAAAGGCGUAGUCGAUGGGAAACGGGUUAAUAUUCCCGUACUUGGUGUUACUGCGAAGGGGGGACGGAGAAGGCUAUGUUGGCCGGG